CAGAGGUUUGUUUAUGGAAGUAGCCAGGGAUCAGGCUGCCGUGCUCACAUUUUUCCCUCCUUCUUUCCACAUGGCGAGAGAAGGGUGGAAAAGAAAGCAAAGGGGCAUGCAUUCACUCAGAAGCCUGGGAGAUGCAGCAGGUCUCUGGUGACCUCCAUGCUGAGAGAAGGACAGGGGAGAAGGAUUUGCUGGAUCAAGGCGGCACCCUUCCUGUUGGAAAACUGGGAUGUAGAAUGUAUCCACGUUAAUUUUUCCUUCUCACUCCACCACUUUUUUUUCUUUUUUUGGCAUGAGCCGGGGAAAGCGGAGCUGGCUUCCUUCCUCCUGGAACACGGCUGCCAAACUCACCCCAGCCCUCCGUCCCUAUCCCCGGCUCCAAACAGAAGGGUGGCUUGUGUGGCUGGGCUCGGUUUUCUUCCUGCUCCAAAAAGAGGUGGCUACGAUCAGCUGCUGCUGUGAGGAUCUCCGUGCCCGGGCUUCUUCCCUGCCAAUUUCUCGAAGAGCUAAAGCUGGCACGGCAGGCGGCUCCGGUGGCAACCAAAGGAAGAUGCCGGAGAGGCUGGAUCACAGAGGAGGGGAAAUGGACCCAUGCCAUCGACAGAUCGGCAUGCCUGCCAGGAUGCCAGAAGGCAGCAUGGGGCCAAAAGGAACAUACGAGGCUGAGGAGCUGCUGGCAGCCCACUGCGAAGCAGGUGGCAGCUGAGUUGGCAGAGGUGCCAUGGAGGAUGGGCUGCCGAGACGCGGCGGCAGCCCAGGCGAAAGAGGGGGAAAAGGAGAGAGAUGGGAAAGAGAGAAAGAAAGAGGCAGGGAAGCCGGAAAAGCAUGGCAGGUAGCAGACGGCGCGUCGGAGCAGCGAUCAGGUACUGUCCCAUUGCUGGACCCCAGAAGUCUUUUCUUCAUCAUUGAACUGGAUCCACUCCGGACUUAGGAAGAGAAGAAUUGCUUUGUGGGGACCAAUAAAGGCUCCCCGGCUCCAGAAUGUUGACGGCUUAACAGAUACUGGCCCCCUUGUCUUGUUUCUCUCCUUCCCUCGUUUCCAUCCAAGGAGCUUGUAAAUACUUGCAAGAAAGAGACUUAACAAGGCUCUGCAGCUGCUGCUGUGUGACCCGCAGAAUCCAGUAUCAGCUGGUCCUUGGAGCUGAUCAGGGCUGUCUGCCGAUUUCAAGGGAAUUUUGAGGAAAACUCAGACACAGAGGACAACUUCGGAGGCAGGACCAUUACAAACUGGUCCAACAAUUGGCAUCUGCAGUCUUUGGUGUGAGAGAAAAUCCACCCCCUCUGGUGAAUCUCUUGGGAAGGAUAGACAGAAUUCUCUUUUUGAGAACGGAGGUGGUUUUUUUAGCAAGAAGCAAGCAAGCCACAACUUGGGGAGCAAGAGGUGAUCGUCAAACAAGGGAGUUCUAUGCUGCUUGAAAGGGUGAACAGCAAAGAGGUUGAGUGGCACUGGAGGGCCUGAUCCAGCCAUACAAGUGGCCAAGAGUUCCCCAAAGCAUUAUGGAAUGUUAUGUUUUUAAAAAUCAGCAUUCCAGGAACAUCCUGAGAGUUCGCUUCCUUGCACGCAGAAGGUUCCCAGUCCCCUCCCUGGCAGCAUCUCCAAGAUGGGGCUGAGAGGGACUCCUGCCUGCCACCUUGGAGAAGCCGCUGCCAGCCUGGGUCGACAAUCCUGAGCUAUAUGGACCAAGGGUCUGACUCAGUAUAUGGCAGCUGCCUAUGUUUUCUCUACAGUAUGUUUCAGUAUAUACAGCCCCUGCCCAUCCCAUCCCAGGCCUGAUUUGAGUUGUGCCACCUGGUUUGCAACAAGCCAAAGACUUGCUAUACAACACACCAUGCCGAUCUCUUCUCCUAACAACCGGGAAAUCUGUUGCCAUUCCUCUGUGGGCCAGUGAUCUGACAGAGUUCUACUUUCCACGUGUGGGGUCAUCUGGGUUGUUGUUGGGAGCCUACCCUUUGAACCAGAAGCAAUGGGGAUUGUUAUUUUUUUUUAAAAAAAAGAUCUGAAAUGCUAUGAACAUGAAUAUGUCAUCCAGCUGAUAAUUAAUUAAUGGUGCAGAAAAGAACCAUAAAGCACCCUGAUCAGAGGCAUUAUUGUAAAAGCCUCCCAAUCAUAUAUCCUACCAGCACAAGCUACGAGUUCCUGUAGCAUAAAUUAGACCUCAUGCAGGA
Hemicordylus capensis (graceful crag lizard) is the source of this 2163-nucleotide long non-coding RNA. RefSeq lists it as uncharacterized. NCBI's taxonomy places the organism in Eukaryota, Metazoa, Chordata, Lepidosauria, Squamata, Cordylidae. The transcript has 2 exons. The record is from RefSeq and is a predicted model, not a curated record.